AACAAGCCACGGCUAACUACGUGCCAGCAGCCGCGGUAAUACGUAGGUGGCGAGCGUUGUCCGGAAUUACUGGGUGUAAAGGGCGCGUAGGCGGAUCUGCAAGUCGGAUGUGAAAUUCCCGGGCUCAACCCGGGCGCUGCAACCGAAACUGCGGAUCUGGAGUGCCGGAGAGGAAAGCGGAAUUCCCAGUGUAGCGGUAAAAUGCGUAGAGAUUGGGAGGAACACCAGUGGCGAAGGCGGCUUUCUGGACGGUAACUGACGCUGAGGCGCGAAAGCGUGGGGAGCAAACAGGAUUAGAUACCCUGGUAGUCCACGCUGUAAACGAUGGAUGCUAGGUGUAGGGGGUAUCGACCCCCCCUGUGCCGGAGCUAACGCA
Molecule: ribosomal RNA, 376 nt
Filed under: uncultured Bacillota bacterium
Lineage: Bacteria; Bacillati; Bacillota
Description: bacterial SSU rRNA
Rfam family: Bacterial small subunit ribosomal RNA
Source: RNAcentral